GGGAGGGAGGAGCUGUGCUGAGCGCAGACCGGCCCAGCCGCAGGUGUCCGCCGAGCACUGAAGUUAAAGCCUCUUCGUGGAACCUGACGUCUAUUGAGGGUUUGCGUUGUGUUUGGCGUCGCUUUUUUAAUCUUCAUUCCCACCCUCCGGGUGAGAACUCAUAUUAACCACUUUUUAAAAGAGGAAGCUGAGGUGCGGUGAAUAGGGUGCCCCUGUCUCAGCAGGAAAGAUGUUGGGUUUGGUGGCAGGUAGACCGUCUCCGGAGCCUGUGUAGCCGCCAGUGCCCUGAAACCCUGGACGCUGGAGAAGCAGCAGAGCGAGGGUCAGGCUCUGAAAGUACAGAGCAGAACGUGCUGGGUCCUGCAGAGCCCCAGACAUCACGGGCUGGGCUCCAGGUCACCGCCGUCAGUCGAGGCCUGGUCUUUUCACUGGUGCAGGGUCUGGCCUUCAGUUUGUUGAAAUCAAAACACCUGUGAAGCGGGAUGGCCUGAGGUCCACCUGUGUCAGAUACCUGCUUCCCCAGGCGCAUCCACAGAAACAAGAGCUAAGUCCCUGUUGCAUCUCAUCAGCCUCCUAAUGAGAGGAUGUUAUUCCAGGAUCCGAUGUAGUAAAACUCCUCCGCUCUAAGCCACAGGCAGUAACAAAAGUUCCCUCUUCCUUCCAGGUGAUGGGAAACCCAGGAGCUUUCAAAAGGAGCCUUAUGUUCUCAGCCUUGUCCUACUUGGGAUUUGAAACUUACCAGCUCCUUUCUCCAGCUGCUGUGGUUCAUGCUGCAGCCAAAGCCUUUAGAGUUGAAGAAAUCCUCCAACAGGCAGAUUACCUCUAUGAGAGUGGAGAGACGGAGAAACUCUAUCAGUUGCUGGCCCAGUACAAGGAAAGUGAAGAUGCAGAGCUGCUGUGGCGUCUGGCUCGGGCAUCGCGGGAUGUUGCUCAGCUUAGCGGAACCUCAGCAGAGAAGAAAAAGGCCCUGGUGUACGAGGCCCUGAAGUACGCAGAGAGGGCGCUAGAGGAAAACGCAGCCAGCUUUGCGGCUCACAAGUGGUUUGCCAUCUGUAUUAGUGAUGUCGGGGAUUACGAAGGCAUCAAGGCUAAAAUCGCAAAUGCCUAUGUCAUCAAGGAGCACUUUGAGAAAGCAAUUGAAUUGAACCCUAAAGAUGCUACCUCGAUUCACCUAAUGGGUGUUUGGUGUUACACGUUUGCCGAGAUGCCAUGGUAUCAGAGAAGAAUUGCCAAUGUGCUGUUUGCAGCCCCUCCCAGCUCCACCUACGAGGAGGCCUUAGGCUACUUUCAAAGGGCAGAACAAGGUAAAAUAUUUUUAUUUCAGAUACUAAUACGGUUAAAAUUGUGUGAACGCUUUAUAUGUAAUAGGAAUUUUAAAACAAAGAUACUUUAUUCCAACACAGCUUUGCACUGGGCACCGUCAAACAGUCUUUAAGGUUUUGUUCAGUAACGAUCACUUGAGUAAGAAGUAGGCCCGCUGGGCUGGGCUGGGCUGGGCCAGGCCAGGCCGGGCCGCCACUCUGGAUAGUCGCACUGGACAAAAAUUGCAGACAUAUUUUUUCCUUUUUUAAAUAGUGACUUUAUCUUUUUAAUAUAUUGUAUUGAUUUCCUUAAACAUGGUCUUGCUCUCCUGGAGCUAAAGUAAUCCUCAGUCACUGACCCUUCUCUGGGGGUUACCUUGAAGGUCAUGUGCAAGGCAGCCCUCCUUAUGGCCCUCGUCUGGUUUAGGGGUCCCGCCUCUGCCCUUAGCACCUGCAACUUCCUCCUUGGGGCGCUCUCACCACCGUGGGAACGCGUGUCCACGUGUCUGAGGCUAAACGCAGGGGAGGUGGGACUGUUUCGCCUGGUCCUGGGCAGACUUGCUGACUGGGAUGAGUGGAUGAACACACUUCCCUCGAGGAAACCUGAGCAUCACGCGACGUCUUGCAGAUACGGUCCCAGGAAGGAAGUAGAGCAGGUUUGGGUUAGGGAGCAGUGGAGGCGAACUACCCAGACAGAAGUAGGAUUGGCAGGGAGAUAGGCGGAGUCUGUAAGAGUAAACGAGGGUGUGAGAGCAGCCGCACUUUCCUCCGUAGACUUGGCGCUGGCAGUGCCCUCGGCCAGCCGUGCUCUCCACCUGCUCCCCUCCGCGCAGCCCAGGUGUAACCCCCUGGAGUUGGCUGCUGCUCUGGUUUCUCAUCACACUUUAGAACUUGGACACCUGUCGACUCUUUUCCACAUCACAUUUCACUGUGCUCAUGUUUCUCUCUCCUUUUCAGUAUAAAUUCCAAGAGAGCAGAGAUUUUGUUUGAUAUGUGCCUGCAGGCAGCCCCACUCAGCGCACGCAGGUCCAGCGUGUAGCGUGUGGUGUCUCGAUUUCUCUCACUCAGGAGGUGUGUUGAGGGCAUGUGCUGUUCUCAGCCCGUAGGGUGCAGCCGGGGCACAGGUGGUGAGGGGCAGUCCCCUCGCACCCCACCUGCCACAGAUGAGAGGUGCGCAGCAGAGCCUCGCGCCCUGUAGGUGCUCCGUGACCUUGACUGCUACACAUCCUGGAGAGAGGAACAGCUGAACAAGAGUGUCCCCGUUAGCUGUGGAUCCAAACUUCUAUAGCAAAAACUUGCUUCUGUUAGGAAAGACGUACCUGAAGCUACACAACAGAAAGCUCGCUGCCUUCUGGCUGC
Miniopterus natalensis is the source of this 2660-nucleotide non-coding RNA. Lineage: Eukaryota; Metazoa; Chordata; Mammalia; Chiroptera; Miniopteridae. The record is from RefSeq and is a predicted model, not a curated record.